CGUGCCGCUGACGGCGCCCUCCUCCCAUAGCGCUGCGGGGUGGGAUCGGGCAGGGGGCGGCGCAGGAGGGCAGAGCGCAGUGCUGGGGGUCCGCUCUGCUCCAUUUCCCCGCAGCCCCAGUCACCGCUGUGACGAAUGGAGAGCAAAAAACUCUUGUACUAAGAGCAGAGGGAUCGGCCAGCACCGCUGCACGGUGCCGAAUUGCUACAGCUCGGCACAGGGGUUGCGUUCAGUGAACUCUGAAGCUUCUGCGCUCCCUAUUCUGCAGCUGAGCGCUCCAUCUGCAGGAGAUUGUUUCUUGACAUGAAAAAUUUACUUUUUAAUGGGCCAAACUGCUGCACUCUCUAAGCUGGAUCCAAAAUAACCUCUUAGCACAUCGCUCUGAAGGGAUCUCCAGCCACCGACCAUAAAACUGAAGCGCUGCUCGUACUAAAAACCCAUUUACAAGCCAUUCCCUCCUUGUCCUUUUGCUUUCACGCCAUGGUUCUAAAGCUCUGGCGCUCACUUCUGGAAAAGGAAAAUGAUCUUUUGGAACUGAA
Coturnix japonica (Japanese quail) is the source of this 539-nucleotide non-coding RNA. The record is from RefSeq and is a predicted model, not a curated record. NCBI's taxonomy places the organism in Eukaryota, Metazoa, Chordata, Aves, Galliformes, Phasianidae.